AGUGAACGCUGGCGGUAGGCCUAACACAUGCAAGUCGAACGGCAGCACAGUAAGAGCUUGCUCUUACGGGUGGCGAGUGGCGGACGGGUGCGGAAUACAUCGGAAUCUACUUUUUCGUGGGGGAUAACGUAGGGAAACUUACGCUAAUACCGCAUACGACCUACGGGUGAAAGCAGGGGAUCUUCGGAUCUUGCGCGAUUGAAUGAGCCGAUGUCGGAUUAGCUAGUUGGCGGGGUAAAGGCCCACCAAGGCGACGAUCCGUAGCUGGUCUGAGAGGAUGAUCGGCCACACUGGAACUGAGACACGGUCCAGACUCCUACGGGAGGCAGCAGUGGGGAAUAUUGGACAAUGGGCGCAAGCCUGAUCCAGCCAUACCGCGUGGGUGAAGAAGGCCUUCGGGUUGUAAAGCCCUUUUGUUGGGAAAGAAAAGCAGCAGGUUAAUACCCCGCUGUUCUGACGGUACCCAAAGAAUAAGCACCGGCUAACUUCGUG
RNAcentral lists this ribosomal RNA (492 nucleotides) under uncultured bacterium. RNAcentral describes it as "partial 16S ribosomal RNA". It matches the Rfam family "Bacterial small subunit ribosomal RNA", at positions 29 to 507 of the family's 1533-position model. The record is from RNAcentral.